GUAAGAAGUAAUGAGAAUGAGAGAAGGUCUGUGGCUUCCUUUCAUAAUGACGGGGCGUGUUCUUUAGAGGAGGCGGAGAUAGUCAACAUUACAGUCUGAGGUUUUCUGUGACUAAAACAGAGAAGCAAUAACCAGAGUGAACUGAAGAGCAGCAUCAUGAUUACUUUCUUCUGUUUCACCUUCAGUGUUUUUCUCUUCUCAGGUUCGUCCCUCAGCCAAAUAGUCGAGCAGACGCCGACGCACAUGUUCAGCAAACCGGGAGAAAAACCCCAAAUCAACUGUAAACAUGAAAUCAAGGACUACAACCGAAUGCUCUGGUACAAACAGUUAAAGAACAGACAGAUGCAGUUCCUCGGAUACAUGAAUGUUAAAGACGGCUAUCCUGAAGAUGGAGUUCAUGUGAAGAUUGAAGGGAGCGCACUGGAACGCCAGAACUGCACGUUAACAAUAGAAGCAGUGGAGCUGAGCAGUAGUGCGGUGUAUUUCUGUGCUGCUAGUCUCCACAGUGCUUCAUAACUUUGCUCCUCAAUACAAAAACCUGCUGAUACUGUUUUUAUUUCAUCUCAGCGCUGCACUCCACAGCCCCUUACAGCUGUACCACGACAUACUAACCAAUGUCGGCCUUUUUUUCUAAUCCAGAUCUGAUAUAACAGGAGGAGGUUUCGUAUCAGCAGCAGUACUUCUGCGUUUGUUACACUUUCAGGAUUUGUCAUCAUCUCUAAAAUUCUCACACAUUUCAGUCAAGAAAAUUACAGAAAUAUAACCCUUUGUUUUUGUGGUGAUUGGACAUUUCUGUGUAUUUUUCCUUGUUUGGUGCUUGUGUUUUUUUUCUUUCAGAGGCUGGGUGUGGCUUAUUGGCUGCUGGAGCUCUCUGCAAUCACUCACCUGUUCGUCAUCUGUAAUCACCGGCUGCAGCAUUUAU
Non-coding RNA from Labrus bergylta (ballan wrasse), 922 nucleotides. The record is from the annotation of a RefSeq genome assembly. NCBI's taxonomy places the organism in Eukaryota, Metazoa, Chordata, Actinopteri, Labriformes, Labridae.